RNAcentral lists this transfer RNA (70 nucleotides) under Anadara broughtonii. RNAcentral's name for it is "tRNA-Asp". The record is from RNAcentral. Lineage: Eukaryota; Metazoa; Mollusca; Bivalvia; Arcoida; Arcidae.
AUCGGGGUAGUUCUAUAUUAGAAUAAUAGUUUGAUUAAGCUGAAGGUGCCUGAUUUUCAGGCCCCCGGUU